CAGACUUCAACCCACAACCCACUUAGGAAGGGAAUCUCUGGAGAGUGGCGACUGCUGGAUGAGGCUGUCCUCCCAGAAGUGAACACAGAAGGAAUUCCAAUCCAUUAUGUCAACAGCCCAACUGGCAACAACACUUUCUGCUACCAGGCAACACUCAAUAGGUGGUCUUGGGAAAAGGGGUUAAGGAGAGAGCACUAGGAGCAUUUCUCCAUGACCACAGACUGCCAGGAUGAAAUAUGUUCAUGCAGACAUGGGAAGGAACAACAUAUUCCUCAACUUCCAAACUCAUAAGGUAAAGCAAAAAUCUAUCUUAUUACCUGCCUGAAAAGUUACUUUUAGGUUUUGAUUCACAUUAAGACAAGUUCUAAAAUGGGUAGACAAGAACGAAUGCGUAUGCUAAUACAAGGCUGUAUAACUGAGGGGAUCUUACAGGCAAGCCUGGAUGGCCUGGGUAUCCAGAUGGGCCCGUUGUACCUCUUGACCCCCUAGGUCCCUGGAAAAGAUUGAAAAAGGUCUUUUUGUGAACACAGAAAGAACUUGCCCUUUUCCACACAAACACAGCCCCUCUAAAGCACCUUGGACUCAGCCUACUGGCCACUGGAUUCCACCCACAGCCCAAAGCUUACACCAUGCCUGCAAUCUCCCUGUGAUUAGAGCAGCCCAGCACCAGCUUCUGGGUAAUGCUGGACAAGGCACAGUUCUAAGCUGUUAAUGCACUGAGAGUUAACUUUAUCAGCAGUUGUGCUGUACUGCAGGGACUUGUUACAAUUCAUCAGUGAAUGCCUUUUUGAAGGGUAUAACAAGAGGAACCCAAAGGCAUCAAGAAUGUGAUUCAGCAACAAAAUUAAACUCUCUCUUCUUCUUUCAUGUUCUUAUGGCUGAAAUAUCAUAUAGUGCUACUUAUUCUUGGGAGACCCAUCAGAUACUGCAGAAGAAGUUUUCACAUCUUGAAUUUCACAGAGAAAAUACUCUGUGAAUACCAGGGCAACAGCUGCUCUACACACAGCUAAUGCAGGUGAGGGGGGUCUGUUUCUACUCCCUUUAAGCCAACAUGAACUAGCCAUGGGAACAGACUAUACAGACUUGAUGUUUCUGAGACUUUAUUCUGGAAUUUUGCUAUUUAAGGCAGGCAGAGAGAAACCCCAAUAUUUCUUACCAUAGAAAGGAGAAAAAAUGGAAGACCUUGAAGACAAAAAGCAGUUACAAAACCCACUGACUGUACUUACAGGCAUGCCAGGGGGUCCAGGAUCACCUCUCUCUCCCUGUAAUGACAGUCAUUGGCAAAUGAACCAGUUCAAACUUUCUUGGGGGUAUUUUUUAACUUUACAGAUUCUAAGAUCAUAAAGUAGCUGUUAGAGUUGUAUAUGUGUUUUUAAAUUUUUUUCCACUAAGUUUUAUAGCUAGUGAGGUGUAAUGGAACAAUGACAUUUACCAUACAUGUUUUCCUACAAAUAGAUGAUUUUUUUCACAAUCAGAUACUUACCGGAAGUCCUUUUCCAAAAUGUAAAAUAUACACUGAAUUUCCUUUUUCUCCUUUUUGC
Haemorhous mexicanus (house finch) is the source of this 1541-nucleotide long non-coding RNA. RefSeq lists it as uncharacterized. Lineage: Eukaryota; Metazoa; Chordata; Aves; Passeriformes; Fringillidae. The record is from RefSeq and is a predicted model, not a curated record. The transcript is spliced from 3 exons.